Molecule: non-coding RNA, 111 nt
Filed under: Schizochytrium aggregatum
Lineage: Eukaryota; Bigyra; Thraustochytrida; Thraustochytriidae
Source: RNAcentral
CAGACGCCCUCGGCGAGUCUCUGGACCGCCCAAGCAAGCGGGACCUGGAGCGGGCGGUCGGCGCCUUCGUAGAGGAAGCGCAUUGUCACCGCGGCAACCGCGUCAGGCUCG